This 717-nucleotide long non-coding RNA is filed under the name Marmota monax (woodchuck). Lineage: Eukaryota; Metazoa; Chordata; Mammalia; Rodentia; Sciuridae. The record is from RNAcentral.
CUAUUCUUUAGAAGUAGUUGCAUUAAUUGGGAAAGUCAUGUUUUUUCCUUCAUACUUAAUGGUCAUAUGAGAAAUCACAACUAUACUUAUUAAAGGAAUACAAAAACAAAUCAGCCCAUUCCCAGAAACAUACUGCGCUCCUCCAGAGGAUGGACACCUUGUGCCAUCCACCUCAGUAGGGCCUUGCCAUUGCCUGAGUCAGGGGAGGGGUGCAGCAGUUAGAGAAUAGUCAACUUCAAUCAUCUGCCAGCUCAGGGUGUCUUGUAACUAUACUGAAAAUGCAGGAACCUUUCACUCUUCCCUUCUCACUGAUAGAAAAUUCAGACAGGAGAGAGAAAUUAUAAGUUUAAAUAAAAUCUGGAAUUUUCAUUAUUUUAUGAAAGGAGGCUUUAUUUUCAGAAUCAAGAUAGUAUUUUCAAACCUGAUUAUCUGAAAAAAAACCUUUUAAAUGCACAAAAUGUAGCACAAAAUUCAUCAGUUAACCUAUUUCUAAUUAACAGUUUGGGAAAGAUUUCCUUACUGAUUUAAAAGAACAGUAAAAAAUUUAAAAGAACAGUACGAGGUGAAAACAAAGAUUCUUUCUGAUAUAUCCCAUGAGAAUUAUUUGUUUAAUAUAUCAGAUAUGCACAUAGAAUUUAAUUUGCAUAAUACUAUAAUAUGUCCUAUUAUUUUUGAGUAAUGUUAUGAUUUUAAAGAUGAGUAAACUAAGAUACAGAG